Elephantulus edwardii (Cape elephant shrew) is the source of this 945-nucleotide RNA transcript. It is a transcript of the gene named RAD23 homolog A (S. cerevisiae) pseudogene, with no coding region annotated. The record is from RefSeq and is a predicted model, not a curated record. NCBI's taxonomy places the organism in Eukaryota, Metazoa, Chordata, Mammalia, Macroscelidea, Macroscelididae. The transcript has a single exon.
GCGCAGCUGGGCACUAAGAUGGUGGAAGCGUGAGUUGCAUGUUGUGUGAGGAUCCCAGGGCCAGGAUCCGCCUCUCGGCCCCACCAUGGCCGUCACUAUCACGCUCAAAACACUGCAGCAGCAGACCUUCAAGAUUCGAAUGGAGCCUGACAAGACGGUGAAGGUACUAAAGGAGAAGAUUGAAGCAGAGAAGGGCCGAGAUGCCUUUCCCGUGGCUGGACAGAAGCUCAUUUAUACUGGCAAGAUCCUGAGUGAUGACGUUCCUAUCAGGAAUUAUCGAAUAGAUGAGAAGAACUUUGUGGUUGUCAUGGUGACCAAGGCCAAAGCUGGCUCGGGUACCUCAGCCCCCCCCCCCAAGAGACCUCACCUACUGCUGCCCCGCAGUCUUCUACAUCCUUCCCACCAGCCCCUCCUGCCUCAAGCAUGUCGCAUCCUCCACCUGCUGACAGAGAAGACAAGAACCCGUCCGAAGAAUCAGUCCCCACGAUGUCCCCAGAGUCUUUGUCAGGCUCUGUUCCCUCUUCAGGUAGCAGCGACAGAGAGGAAGAUGCGGCCUCCACACUAGUGACUGGCUCUGAGUAUGAAACGAUGCUGACAGAGAUCAUGUCUAUGGGCUACGAGCGGGAGCGGGUUGUGGCUGCCCUGCGAGCUAGCUACAACAACCCUCACCGCGCUGUGGAGUAUCUUCUCACGGGAAUUCCUGGGAGUCCUGAGCCAGAGCAAGGCUCAGUCCAGGAGAGCCAGGUAUCUGAGCAGCUGGCCACAGAAUCAGGAGAGAACCCUUUGGAGUGUUUGCGGGGCCAGCCCCAGUUCCAGAACAUGCGGCAAAGUGAUUCAGCAGAACCCAGCUUUGCUGCCUGCUCUGCUCCAGCAGCUGGGACAGGAGAACCCCCAGCUCUUACAGCAUUUAGCCGGCACCAGGAGCAGUUCAUCCAGAUGUUGAAU